Molecule: ribosomal RNA, 253 nt
Filed under: uncultured bacterium
Lineage: Bacteria
Description: partial 16S ribosomal RNA
Rfam family: Bacterial small subunit ribosomal RNA
Source: RNAcentral
GACAGAGGGUGCAAACGUUGUUCGGAAUUACUGGGCGUAAAGCGUGCGCAGGCGGUUCGUUAAGUCAGAUGUGAAAGCCCCGGGCUCAACCUGGGAACUGCAUUUGAAACUGGCGGGCUUGAGUGUGGCAGAGGGGGGUGGAAUUCCGCGUGUAGCAGUGAAAUGCGUAGAGAUGCGGAGGAACACCGAUGGCGAAGGCAGCCCCCUGGGCUGACACUGACGCUCAGGCACGAAAGCGUGGGGAGCAAACAGG